Molecule: long non-coding RNA, 158 nt
Organism: Ochotona curzoniae (black-lipped pika)
Lineage: Eukaryota; Metazoa; Chordata; Mammalia; Lagomorpha; Ochotonidae
Exons: 3
Source: RefSeq, a predicted model, not a curated record
UGCCUCGGUGUGUCGAGAGAAAGGAACACUUGGUCCACCAAAGGAAGCUGGGCUCAGCGUUGAGUGAUGACCUGCCUCUGCUGGCCACACCUGGGGCAGUACAAUACUGCCUGCAGCUCCUUCCUGCCCGGUCUGCACGCUAAUCAGCCCAACACUAC